Molecule: ribosomal RNA, 701 nt
Filed under: fungal endophyte
Lineage: Eukaryota; Fungi
Description: eukaryotic LSU rRNA
Rfam family: Eukaryotic large subunit ribosomal RNA (bases 487-701)
Source: RNAcentral
UUACACAAAUAUGAAGGCGGGCUGGAACCUCUCGGGGUUACAGCCUUGCUGAAUUAUUCACCCUUGUCUUUUGCGUACUUCUUGUUUCCUUGGUGGGUUCGCCCACCACUAGGACAAACAUAAACCUUUUGUAAUUGCAAUCAGCGUCAGUAACAAAUUAAUAAUUACAACUUUCAACAACGGAUCUCUUGGUUCUGGCAUCGAUGAAGAACGCAGCGAAAUGCGAUAAGUAGUGUGAAUUGCAGAAUUCAGUGAAUCAUCGAAUCUUUGAACGCACAUUGCGCCCUUUGGUAUUCCAAAGGGCAUGCCUGUUCGAGCGUCAUUUGUACCCUCAAGCUUUGCUUGGUGUUGGGCGUCUUGUCUCUAGCUUUGCUGGAGACUCGCCUUAAAGUAAUUGGCAGCCGGCCUACUGGUUUCGGAGCGCAGCACAAGUCGCACUCUCUAUCAGCAAAGGUCUAGCAUCCAUUAAGCCUUUUUUUCAACUUUUGACCUCGGAUCAGGUAGGGAUACCCGCUGAACUUAAGCAUAUCAAUAAGCGGAGGAAAAGAAACCAACAGGGAUUGCCCUAGUAACGGCGAGUGAAGCGGCAACAGCUCAAAUUUGAAAUCUGGCUCUUUUAGAGUCCGAGUUGUAAUUUGCAGAGGGCGCUUUGGCUUUGGCAGCGGUCCAAGUUCCUUGGAACAGGACGUCACAGAGGGUGA